AGAGCGCAGGGUGGAUGCCUUGGCACUGAGAGCCGAAGAAAGACGUGAUAAGCUGCGAUAAGCAGCGGUGAGGAGCAAAUAUCCGAUGACCCGCUGAUUUCUGAAUGGGGAAACCCGGCUGAGCAACCCUCAGUCACCAUAUGCUGAAUACAUAGGUAUAUGGAGGGAACCCGCUGAACUGAAACAUCUAAGUAGGCGGAGGAAGAGAAAGAAACAUCGAUUCUGUGAGUAGCGGCGAGCGAAAACGGAAGAGCCUAAACCGGAGCGCGUGCGUUCCGGGGUUCGGACUGCGACAUGUGAGCAAUAGGAUAACAGAACAGUCUGGGAAGUCAGACCAGAGAGGGUGAAAGUCCCGUAUGUGAAAUCCGAGUUGCAGCUAGCAGGAUCCAGAGUACCACGAGACACGAGAAACCUUGUGGGAAGGCAGGGAGACCACUCCCUAAGGCUAAAUACUACUCAGUGACCGAUAGCGCAUAGUACUGUGAAGGAAAGGUGAAAAGGACCCCGGGAGGGGAGUGAAAGAGAACCUGAAACCCUGUGUUUACAAGCUGUCGAAGCACGAAAGUGCGACGGCGUACUUUUUGUAGAACGGUCCGGCGAGUUAUGAUGAGUGGUAAGGUUAAGGACUUAAGGUCUGGAGCCGAAGCGAAAGCGAGUGUUAAAAGCACGACAGAAUCGCUUAUCAUAGACCCGAAACCGGGUGAUCUAUCCAUGUCCAGGUUGAAGCUGCCGUAAGAGGUAGUGGAGGACCGAACACACAUCCGUUGAAAAGGGUGGUGAUGAGGUGUGGAUAGGGGAGAAAUUCCAAUCGAACCCGGAGAUAGCUGGUUCUCCUCGAAAUAGCUUUAGGGCUAGCCUCUGGUUAGUCUGCCGCAGGUAGAGCACUGAAUUUCCUAGGGGCGUCAAAGCCUACCGAAGAAUAUCAAACUGCGAAUGGCGGACAGAUGAUGCCAGGGAGUCAGACUGCACGAGAUAAGUUGGGUGGUCAAAAGGGAAAGAGCCCAGACCUACAGCUAAGGUCCCAAAGUGUGUGUUAAGUGGAAAAGGAUGUGGGAUUUCGAAGACAACUAGGAUGUUGGCUCAGAAGCAGCCACACAUUAAAAGAGUGCGUAAUAGCUCACUAGUCGAGAGGUCCUGCGCCGAAAAUGUCCGGGGCUAAAACACAACACCGAAGCUUAGGAAUCUAAUGAAUUGGUAGAGGAGCAUUGAAGACGGAACGAAGCCAUACCGAAAGGAAUGGUGGACUGUCUUGAAGAGAGAAUGCCGGAAUGAGUAGCGAGAUUGAAGUGAGAAUCUUCAAGGCCGAAUAUCUAAGGUUUCCAGGGUAAAGCUGAUCUGCCCUGGGUAAGUCGGGGCCUAAGGCAAGGUCGAAAGACGUAGUCGAUGGAUAACAGGUUGAAAUUCCUGUACUGCAUCAAAUCAGAAAUGUGGGGACACAUGAGGGAAGCAUGAGCCGGAAAAGGAAAGUCCGGUACAAGCGCAGCAGAGGACAGAUAGGCAAAACCGUCUGUCAACUCGAGGGCGUGAUGUGGAGCGAACCAAAGUAGCGAAGCAUGUGGAGCUUGUGUCGAGAAAAGCCGCUAUAGUGUUUGAUGUACCCGUACCGUAAACCGACACAGGUGGAUGAGGAGAGAAUCCUAAGGCCGGCGGGAGAAGCAUUGUUAAGGAACUCGGCAAAAUGACCCCGUAACUUCGGGAGAAGGGGUGCCUGCAGAGGUAUCUGCAGGCCGCAGAGAACUGGCCCAAGCAACUGUUUAACAAAAACACAGGUUUAUGCAAAACCGAAAGGUGAAGUAUAUGAGCUGACGCCUGCCCGGUGCUGGAAGGUUACGAGGAGAUGUUAGAGCAAUCGAAGCAUUGAAUUUAAGCCCCAGUAAACGGCGGCCGUAACUAUAACGGUCCUAAGGUAGCGAAAUUCCUUGUCGGGUAAGUUCCGACCCGCACGAAAGGCGUAAUGAUUUGGGCACUGUCUCGACAAUGCACCCGGUGAAAUUGAAAUACCAGUGAAGAUGCUGGUUACCUGCGCCAGGACGGAAAGACCCCAUGGAGCUUUACUCCAGCUUGAUACUGGGAUUCGGUAUUGCAUGUACAGGAUAGGUGGGAGACUGAGAAGAUGUGUCGCCAGAUGCAUCAGAGUCGAUGUUGGGAUACCACCCCUGCAGUACUGGGCUUCUAACCUGCAGCCGUGACCCGGCUGGGGGA
RNAcentral lists this ribosomal RNA (2202 nucleotides) under human gut metagenome. RNAcentral describes it as "bacterial LSU rRNA". It matches the Rfam family "Bacterial large subunit ribosomal RNA", at positions 14 to 2251 of the family's 2925-position model. The record is from RNAcentral.